UUGUGAUUAUUGCAAACAUUUAUUUAUUCUAAAACUUAAAUCAGACUGUAUCAAGUCUGUAUUACAGUUACAAUAGCAUUUACAGUUGCAUACAGGCCUUUUUUUUUUUGACUGGAGACCAUAUUGUUGAUUCUGUUUAGAGCUUUAUAAAUAUGAUUUCAGUUUAUGGCUAUACAUUGUACAGAGAAUGUUUUCAACAUCUAACUUCAAAACCAUGCAAAAAAACAAACAAACCCAAAUGAAUAUAAUAUUACAUUAUACAUUUUCAAUGAAAUUAUGUAAUUCCAAUUAAAAACACACACAAAUUAAAUAUGGUCUGGUUUAGAUACAUUUUUAAACAAAAUUCAUGCAAACAUCAUGCAAACUAUUAUCUUUGAGGAACAUUUUUCAAAUAUGAACUGUAAAUUAGGUUUAAAAUAACAGUACACAUAUCUUAAAGAACUAUAUGAACUAUUGAAAAAUGCUGUUAUUCAUUGCUUCACAGUUUGCUUGAGAACACACCAACAAGCUCAUAAUUUACUUGAAAAGUCCAAAAAAGUCCAAAAAAGACCUGUAUAUCUGUUACAAGUGAGCAUUGCUACAAUAUGUAUUUGUACAGUUGACUAUACAUCCUCUUAUUGCCAGACAUAUCCUGAUCGGGAUUUCUACAUUGCCUAAAAUGUCCAGGUUUUGGCGUUUCCUCUCUAGAGUCCUCAGACAUUAUGUGUACAUGUAUUUGCACUGCUUUGACUCUUCUCUGUAGAUCCCACCUUCUCGCAGGCCACAACUGGUCGAUUAAGCACAAUGCCUGCAUGCUGGUGAAACUACUUUACAGUCAUUACCUUCAGAAAGUCAAAAAAAUGACAUUUUAGGCAAUUUAGAAAUCCUGGCCAGGACAUGUCUGGGAAAAACAGAACGUACGAUCACCCUAAGUUACUUAACAUCAGAGGUAAAAAAGCUCUUUGUACAGACAUGAGUUUAUGUUCAAUGGAGCCACAUGCUGAACUCAUACAGAAAAGACAGUGGCAGUAAAAGAAAUGUCUCCAGGGCAGCCCACCGGCACACUAGUUUAAUGGUGUGUCUCACUAGUACAUACCAUUAAACACUCAAUAUCAUUAAAUCAAGCAAUGGAGUAAUGAGCCAGGGAGCCACCAGGGGCAGUGUUGAAACACACGGUGGUUGCAUGCAAUAAAUUUAAUUUGACACAUUAUCCCAUAAUAAUAAAAAAAAAUCUUCUGUAUGAGUAUAAUGUGGAACAGACAAUUUUUGUUACACAAUUCAGAAUGCUAUUUAAUUGUCUCUUCUCUAUUAGGUAGGUCUAUCCAUGUAAUAUUGCAAAAACACACCCACAUUUUUACAGACAUUAUCUUAAAUAAACUAUUAAUGUUAUGCAGAUAAAAGUAAAAACAGUAGUGUUUGCAAUGUGAUAUACUAGAACAACGUAGUUGCCUUGAUGUUUGAUGCUUUUUCUUGGAUUUAGCACAACAGCUUAUCUUAAUUUUGUUAUGCAAAAUCAUUUAUAAAGAGCACUGAACAAAACAUAUUUGUUUCCUCUGAAGUAUAGAUUUAUAAAACAUUUGGCAAGUUAUAUUAAGUAAAAUGUAUGGAAAGCUAAAAAAGAGAGAGGAAUAAAACAAAAUAAAAAUAAUAUAUAAAUAAAAUGAUGUAUACAUUCUGAGGAACUGAGCUUACGGUCCAAAGCCCGUAUUUCUCAGUGCAGCUGUUACUUCUGUAAACAGUUUAGUAAACGGUAUCACUAAGAAAGGAUAUAUGAAAUAGUUUACAUAUUUCUUGUUUUAUUAUAUCCUUCCUUCCAGUUGUACGAACCGUGAACAACUUCCAAACCCCAUUCUGACAGAAAACACAGUGGAAUGCUUAGAAUUAGCACCCCAUCAAAACGAGGUCACGCCUCAUGUUUAUAUAAAAGACUAUAUAAUCUUACAAUCCUGAACCCCACUGCAUGUUCAGAAAGGAAGUUAGUUCUUUCAUUUCUUCCUGUCCUUCUUGGACAUAUAUAUUAAUCAUAAAUAGAUAGUAAUCAUUCAGAAACAAAAGGCAAAUCCAUGGUAUUAAUAAAAAGAUGGAUAGCCUUAAGAUGAUAUAAUAAAUAGCGCAAUAUUUGCAAACUCUGUUCUUCAAAAUGACAAAGAAUCUGAGAAGGAAGUUUUCGAGUUUUAAGAUCCAGGAAGUAACUUAAAUCUCUUUCACAUUUCUUGGUCAUUGCUGGUGUAAUGCUGUAGGACCUACUGUGAAGCUCUCCACUGCAUCAGAGCGUUCAGAGGUCCGUCUUCACUGGCUUUGCCAUGUUGUUUAACAUCAGAAUACGAGGUUUGGCUAGUUUCACCACAGCGGUGGUGAAAAGGGGAAGAAUGGAUACUGAGUAUCAUCCUCAUCCACAAAGAAACACUGGAAGUAGGGAACAUCCUC
Molecule: long non-coding RNA, 2406 nt
Organism: Cyprinus carpio carpio
Lineage: Eukaryota; Metazoa; Chordata; Actinopteri; Cypriniformes; Cyprinidae
Source: Ensembl